GGCCACCUAAAGUACGAGAAUGAGAUAGUAAAGACAGGACCAGCCUUCUCAUCUACUUCACAUUUAUCACUGCCAUAGGUAUUGAGGCAACCAGGUUCAUCGAAGUCACCCAGACUCACCCGGAACAGCUAAAAGAGGCUUCUGUGAGGCCGGAGGGACAUUGCUGGAACAACUCUUGGGCUGGGGCAACUGGCUAAAAUGUUUUAAACUGUUCUAAUUUUGGUUCCUCAGUUUUUUGUUGGGUUGGUGUUGGUUAAAUGUUUAGUUGAAGUUGGCGGUAAUUUUAAUUUGGGUAUAACUGUAAACUGUUUAUUAUUGUUGUUAUUGGUUUCUAUUGAUUUAGUGGUUUGUUUGUUGCUUGUCAGCAUAUUUUGUUUUUUAAUGUUUGAUAUGUUUUUAUGUAUGUUGUAAGCCACCAAGAGUGGCUGGGGAAACCCAAUCAGAUGGGCAGGAUAAAUUAAUUUUAUUAUUAAGUCAGGGUUCCCCAAAUUUGGGUCUCCAGCUGUUUUUGGACUACAACUCCUAUCAUCCCUAGCUAGCACGACCAGUGGUCAGGGAUGAUGGGAACUGUAGUCCAAAAAACAGCUGGAGACCCAAGUUUGGGAAACCAUAUCUAAGUCUUUCCCUAUGUAGCUUGCAUGCUUGCCUCUGCACUGUCCUGACUUUCCCUUCCUCUUUCCCCAACAUCCACAACGAAGGCAGUGGUUACUAGAGGGAGGGGAGAUUUCAGUGGGAGUUGUAGCCGGGCAGACACAGGUUAAAACUUCUAUUAUAUAUUCAGAUUCUGUCAUCAGAAUUAAUUGUAAACAUUGCACACAUUGGGGGGAAAGGGGGGAUCUGCCACUUACAAAAUGAGAUUAAGAAGAAUUUGGAAUCUGUUGGCAAAGGACAAGAUGCUGAAGGGAAGAACUAGCAAGAGGCAUAGGGCAUUAUGGGCUGGGAACGAUGUAAUUUAUGUCUUGCAAAGUUGACUGGUGGCAAUACUAGUGUAUGUUAAACUAUUUUCACACUCUGCCACAGGUUCCUCAUUAGCUUACCACACAGUUUUUUUAUGAGAGGGAAAAGAAAGAAAACAAGUGGAACAAGAACCCAGCGGGGUUACACACUAAGCUAUCUGCAAUAAAAGAACACCACUGGGUUCUUGUUUAACUUAAAAACUUUUUUGUUUUCUUUCUUUAUCCGCAUAACAACUCCCUCUGAUUGCAAUUAUUUACCUUGUUUUCAUUCUGAUAAAGCCUUCCUGUUUUUUCCCCAACCAAAGCAUUCAUACUAACUCCCCACACACAACACUAGAAGGCACUCUGCACUCCUGUAAGUGCUGCAGCCUCUGCAUAAGAGAAUGCUCCUUUGUUUUCAAAACUCGUCUGCUUCCUGCUCUUAUUGGCUCAGCAGUGUCUCACCUGCUCCUUCAACUCCGCAUAUCAGACUAAGCAGCCUUUUACAAGAAGUGGGAUAUCCUGUAUGUUAACAGGUCCUGUGAUUUAUGGGGACCAACUGUUUUGCUCAUGGCUUCGAGAAAUAAAACUGAAUCAUUUGCUGAAAGAUUUUGGAUGCUGAGUAAUUAGCAUGAUGAUAAUAAAAGUAAACAAUUAUUCCCACACUGUGUGGGCCGAUACAUUUAACCCAUUGUGUUUUCUUAACAAGUGAUACUGUUGUAUGGGUAUGGAGAACCUAUGUCCCUCCAGAUUUUGCUGGACAGCAACGCCCAUGUUCCCUGACCAUUGAGCGUGCUGGCUGGGGGAGUUGGAGUCCAAAAACAACUGGAAUGGCACAGUAACUGCUCUUUUCCUAAGUUUACAAUGUUAGCUGGCUGCUCUGACUAAAUUUCUUCUAAUUGUGAAGAUUUAUCUUGCCCCCACAGAGGAUACAGAUUUUAAUAAUGAUGAUAUUCAGUAUUUAUAUAGUGCAUUGAACACUAAAAUGUUUCACACACAUUUUCUUAGUAAUCCUGCUUUUAUACACAUUGUAAGAGAGAGAGAAAGAGAGAAGUUUACUUAAGGCCACAGGCUGCAAUCCAAUGCUUGCUUACCCAGAAGGAAGCCCCACUGAACAGUGGGACAUAGGUCUGAGCAGACAUGUACAGGAUUGAACAGUUAGAGAUUUAAUGGCUGAACCACGAGGCCUUCCCAGCUUACCAUUGUAACCACUACCAUAAAGGUAAAGGUAAAAAAACCACUGCCAUGUACCAAAACUGACUAACUUGACUAUCCCUAAAGUGAUGUGGGAGUAUAAUUUCAAGUGUGAAGGCCGAGAGAAGCUCUUAAAAAUUGCUUUAAUUCAUAGUAAGCAUCAAGCUUAAACCCAAGCCUUACCAAGUGCAAAUUCCACAAGCGUUUCAUUGUCCUCACUGAGCAUAUCUAGGAACAGGUCCAAUACUUUCAGCUGCCGGAGAUAUUCAUAAUUCUUAGGAUCAUAAGCAAAAUUAGCUAGAUUGGCCAACACCUGCUCCUUGGCUUCUGAAAUAAUAUAAAACAACUCUUGAGGUAAUAUUUUUGGUAUAUAAAUUUUGACACAACUUUGUUAAUAUAUUCAGAAACGUUUAUUUGAGUUUUUGUGGUUGUUUGAUUUUUAUGUAAUAUUGCAUGUCCUAUGCUCUAAUGCAAACAAAAAUAUAUACAAUGCAACCGUGUUAAACAGUUUAAAGAUGAAAAUGAAUAAAAACUGUGUUACCAAAGCAACAACGCUUGAGAGGAGGAAAGAAGCAACUAAGAUGGGCAAGGCAUUUAUACACAUAGAACAAAAGCAGCUAGUGGCCAAUAAAUUAUACUCACCUGAGCUCUCAGUCACCUGGAAUUCAGUGACUAGGGCCUGUAGGUAUUCAAGGCGACCCAGACCAAGUAGGUCCUUGUGGUUUUGGGACAUGCUGCUAGAAGAAAAGGCAGAGUUUCAUUUGAAAUAAUAUUCUGAAGGACGUACUAUUACAGGAGUCCUGAAAGGUUCUGUGAAAGAUUUCUUCUCCAUUUUCAAUCCCAACUUCCUUGUCUUUAAUGUUUAGCCUCUUUAGACUACGUAUAAUUUCAAGCUAAUAAUUUUAUACGAGCAGUGAAUAAACUAUAGCUUUAUUCUUAGAAUUGGGCAGGCUUCCUAAAUGCAUUUUACUUUUCGUUCAGGAAAAAGCAUUUUCCAUCUCCCAAAUGAGGAAAAUCCCACUGCCUCAAAAAAGUACUUCCGCAUGUCUGUAGAAUCAAAUCUACUUUUGACCUGAAAACAAACCAUGAAGCUAAACUUUCCAAGGUAGAUCUUUGCAUAUAACAUUCUCCCUCCAAGCUUCCUACACUGCCGUAUGACAAACUCUCUGUUCAUAUCCCUUAGUAUUUUAAAACACGGAUAUGGUUGAUAUGUGCUUGUUCAGGACAACUCUUAGGUUCUCAGUGAGGCAGGAAACCAUUUGACAUAAAACAUUUUCUAAGCAUGACUAGGCUCCUCACCUUUGUGUACUCAGAAUUACAGCAAAAAAUAUUGCCAAUUUCUCCGAUGUCCUUUAAAAGAACACCCACUACUUCCUCUUUUAAAUAUUAACUAAACAGGGAACUAGAAGACACAGGGCAUACAAAAAUUCAAUCGAUGCCCCCACCAACUAGUAUUCCUACUCUCCAGUUCCUCCACAUAACUAUGGAAAAGCUCCCAGUAAAAUAAAUGAGCCUGUGUGACUAUAACCUACCACUCCACCAGGGCAACACUUUGCGACUUGUGUAGAUGUGUCCUUAAAACACCACUUCUCCAGUAUUUACCUGUGUAUGAUCUAAGGUAAAAGGUAAAGAACCCCUGGAUGGUUAAGUCCAGUCCAAAGCGACUAUGGGGUUGCGGUGCUCAUCUCACUUUCAGGCCAAGGGAGUUGGUGUUUGUCCACAUACAGCUUCCCAGGUCGUAGCCAGCAUGACUAAACCACUUCUGGCACAAUGGGACACAGUGAUGGAAGCCAGAGCGCACGGAAAUGUAGUUUACCUUUCUGCCACAGCGGUCCCUAUUCAUCUACUUGCACUGGUGUGCUUUUGAACUGCUAGGUUGACAGGAGCUGGGACAGAGCAAUGGGAGCUCAUCCCGUUGCAGGGAUUCGAACCACCAACCUUCUGAUUGGCAAGUCUAAGCGGCUCAGUGGCUUAGACCACAGCGUCACCCGUGUGUAUGAUCUAAUGGUCCCAUGAAACAACUGCCACUCCCCUCUCCUUUGGGGUGUCCUCCCCACCAUGGGAAAACAUGUCAUAUGAUGGAUCAGGUUUCCCAUAUUUAUUCUGGAAGACUUUCUGAUCCCUGGAAGGCUGCCCUGACCAGAACAUGGCUGAAAAAGACCUAGGUUAACAUAUUAUUGUUGCUACUAAUAGUGGUGGUAGUAGUCGUCUAUACGGUGGUACCUCGGGUUAAGUACUUAAUUCGUUCCGGAGGUCUGUCUUUAACCUGAAACUGUUCUUAACCUGAGGUACCACUUUAGCUAAUGGGGCCUCCCGCUGCCGCCGCACCGCCGGAGCACAAUUUCUGUUCUCAUCCUGAAGCAAAGUUCUUAACCCGAGGUACUAUUUCUGGGUUAGUGGAGUCUGUAACCUGAAGCGUCUGUAACCCGAGGUACCACUGUAUUUUCUUAUACUGUACUCCGUCUUUCCCCCUGAUAGGGACUCCAGGCGGCUUACAGGUAAACCGAGGUCUAGGAUUGGAUAUUGCCAUAGGAAUCUAACCCUGGGUAUUUCCGUUCGUUUCCCCGCCCACUUCGUUACCUGCUGCCCUUGGAUGGCUCCUUCCUUUGCCCGCACCGGCCUCGCUUUAUCGCCCAGCCGGUGGAGGCACAGCAAAACCUCGCACGGAACUUCCGGACGAGACACGCCGGCACGCACGGAAAAAAACUCCAGGAACGCGCAGGAAACCGGAUGUUGCGUUGAAGAACGGGCAGAAGAGUUACACUAAGGGCAGCACCCUAGCGGGGAACAAGUACCCUUUAGAGGUGGGAGAGUCCGCUCUACCGCUCCGCCGCCGAGUCCCUUCCAGCCAUGGCGGGCUUCUCCGCGAAGAAACGUCUGUCCAAGCCCUUGUUGUUUGGGGGCAUCUUCUGUGCCUUGGCGACCGCCUUCGUGUACAGACAUCGGUUUUUCCCUGAGGUAGAGGAGAUCCGUGCCCGGGAGUAUGAGUACUAUGAAAAGAAACGCCAGGAGGUGCUGCAGAGGCGCCAGCAGCAACUGGCUGAGCUGGCGCAGAAGAAAACAGCCCCGUAAUUGGCCUUCUACUGCUGAGGAAAGACAGAGACCUGACUAAAUGGACUAGAUGACUGUGCUCCCAUGCCAUUGGUUCUUACAGGCGUGUUUGGGCUUGGACUACUCAGCGGGAUUUGAGCAAGUCCUAUCUUAAUUAACUUGAGAGUUCUUGGGAGAGAGCAUGUAAUGUCCAUAAGAAUAAGGAUUUGAGUCUGAGGGAACCUAAGAUUACGUAUUGUUUUUUGCAUUGAUUUUUAAUGCAACUUUUAGCAUAUGAUUUAGCACAAGUGGUCUUGCAACGACUCCAAAAAUUUGCCAUGUUUUGGUGAGUCUUGGCUGCCCUAAACAUUUCAUAUAUGAGUUGUGUGGUUUUUUUUCUUUUUGGUUUUGCUGGUAAUCGUGUAUAAAGGUAAAGGACCCCUGGCAAUUAAGUCCAGUCGCGAAAUAUAUCCCUGCUUUCAGACAAUAUUUCAGAGAUGAACAAUAUUCUUGCUUCCUAUGCAGAAACAUCUAGGUCACUGUUCAGACAAAUGAAUGUCUAUUUCUGGCGUGUGUCUGCUUAAUCACUGAAUGAAGCACAAUUGUUUAUUUUGAAACAUGAAUGAAUUCCUGCAGUUGGAUCAUAGCUGUAAAAGUGAUUGUGAACAGAAAUGAUGCGCUGAUGCAAAUAUAUUACCCAAAUUCUUUGGAA
Long non-coding RNA from Podarcis raffonei (Aeolian wall lizard), 5871 nucleotides. RefSeq lists it as uncharacterized. NCBI's taxonomy places the organism in Eukaryota, Metazoa, Chordata, Lepidosauria, Squamata, Lacertidae. The record is from RefSeq and is a predicted model, not a curated record. The transcript has 3 exons.